GACGAACGCUGGCGGCGUGCUUAACACAUGCAAUUCGAACGGAAAGGCCCUGCUUUUGUGGGUUGCUCGAGUGGCGAACGGGUGAUUAACACGUGAUUAACCUGCCCUUGACUUUGGGAUAACUUCAGGAAACUGGGGCUAAUACCGGAUAGGAGCUCCUGCUGCAUGGUGGGGGUUGGAAAGUUUCGGCGGUUGGGGAUGGACUCGCGGCUUAUCAGCUUGUUGGUGGGGUAGUGGCUUACCAAGGCUUUGACGGGUAGCCGGCCUGAGAGGGUGACCGGCCACAUUGGGACUGAGAUACGGCCCAGACUCCUACGGGAGGCAGCAGUGGGGAAUAUUGCACAAUGGGCGGAAGCCUGAUGCAGCAACGCCGCGUGCGGGAUGACGGCCUUCGGGUUGUAAACCGCUUUCGCCUGUGACGAAGCGUGAGUGACGGUAAUGGGUAAAGAAGCACCGGCUAACUACGUG
RNAcentral lists this ribosomal RNA (468 nucleotides) under uncultured bacterium. RNAcentral's name for it is "partial 16S ribosomal RNA". It matches the Rfam family "Bacterial small subunit ribosomal RNA", at positions 28 to 507 of the family's 1533-position model. The record is from RNAcentral.